UUUUUAGCAUCUAAUUAUUUUCCCAAGAAAUCCCUUUCUUAGUAUUUUCAUCACUUGACCAUUUAACGACUAAAUUCGGGAUGGAUUAGGGUUUUUCUAAUCAAGUAUUGACACUA
This 116-nucleotide ribosomal RNA is filed under the name Ostreobium sp. TRHA14-720. Lineage: Eukaryota; Viridiplantae; Chlorophyta; Ulvophyceae; Bryopsidales; Ostreobiaceae. The record is from RNAcentral.